AUGUACAUUCCUACAACAUAGUGUUAAUGUAUUGGAUCCCAUUAGAACUUUGUAGUUAAGUGCACUUGGGAUAUAUUAGUACUAGGAUGGGUGAGGGCUCGAUAAUUCCCAUUGUUUUACAUG
This is a non-coding RNA of Picea glauca (white spruce), 123 nucleotides long. NCBI's taxonomy places the organism in Eukaryota, Viridiplantae, Streptophyta, Pinopsida, Pinales, Pinaceae. The record is from Rfam.